AGCACCUGCGGCAUAUGGAAGUUUCCAGGCUAGGGGUCAAAUUGGAGCUGUAACUGUCGGCCUUUACCACAGCCACGGCAACGUGGGGUCUGGGCUGCAUCUACAACCUACACCACAGCUCACAUCAACGCUGGCCCCUUAACCCGCUGCGAGGCCAGGGAUAGAACCUGCAUCCUCACGGAUACUCGUGGGGCUCGUUUCUGCUAAGCCACAGUGGGAACGCCUCUUAUGCGUGACUUUUGGCCAAAGGGACCGGCUCUACCAAAAACAGGGACUGAAGCAUACCCAGGUGACUAUCUGGCUCACCUGAUUCUCUUCCCAGUGGGGCUUUGAAACAUGGGGACAAACUUUAGACACAGAGAAUGGAGCCAUUGCCUCUGUCGGGAUGGGAGAAAUUCACAGAUGUCUUGACAGCAGCUACCUCGCGACACUGAGUGGUAGCGGACCACUGGAAAAACUCUGGGUAAGAAAGACUAUCAAAGGAGCAUCAGGUCCAGAUUGCAAAUUGCUUUAGCAGCUAAAACAGGCAGAAAGAUAGAGCAACUCACGCUAAUCCAGGGGGUUUAUGCUUCGGGCUGGCUGCCUCUGACGCCCACCCUUGACCCAGCCCAUUCAUCAGUAUUUUGAUAAGCAGAUUCCCCUGCAGAGCUUCUUAAUCUGGGUUCCCAGAGGAGUCUUGCAGAGAUUAAUGAGAGCCCUGCCGCUGCCUGCCAGCUCUUGAGGGUGGGGCAGUUAAAUCACAAAAGGGAAGGGACUGGUCGCGGAUGCCCAAACUCUCCCAUCACUGGACCUGACGCCUCUAGGGGUCAACUCAGUAUCUUUUCAACUUAAAUACCUGGAUCUGUUUUUAUUUUUAUUUUUAAUCCACUUUCUCCUUGGUAUCUAGGGAAAUUAAAGCCCUGGCUCACAUCUUCCUUAAGGCCAGCUUUUAGCCAGAGCCAUGACAGCAUCUGGAGCUCAACAAAGAUUAGGGGCAGAGGCAGGCAGGAAUGCCAGGGACAGAGAGGAAAUCCAGUGCUACCAAGGGCACCACCAAUGUGCUGUACCCGCCAUGCAGCCCUCCCACCAAAUACCCUCUGGCUACAGUCCCCUGACAGUGGUGGGAGGGGAAGCUGGGGCUGCAACCCCAAAGCCUGAGCCCUCACAGAAGUGCAGCCCCUAAGACAAAAAAAAAAAAAAAAAGGGAGUUCCCAUCGUGGUGCAGUGGUUAACGAAUCCGACUAGGAACCGUGAGGUUGCGGGUUUGGUCAUUGCCCUUGCUCAGUGGGUUAACGAUCCGGCGUUGCCAUGAGCUGUGGUGUAGGUUGCAGACGCGGCUCAGAUCCCGCGCUGCUGUGGCUCUGGCGUAGGCCGGUGGCUACAGCUCCGAUUCCACCCCUAGCCCGGGAACUUCCAUAUGCCACGGGAGUGGCCCAAGAAAUAGCAAAAAAAGACAAAAAAAAAAAAAGAAGGCUGGUCUCUGCUCUUGCAAUGCCAGAUCCUCAACCCACAGUGCCAAGCCAGGGGUGGAACCCGCAUCUCAGCAUUCCCAAGAGGCUGCCGAUCCCACUGCACCACAGCGGGAACUCUGCAGGCUGGGUUCCCUGUGAGACGUGAUCUGGGGAAAUUUUCUGGGCUGUCCUCUGGAGAGAUGGGACUUAUUUUGAAGUAAGAUGUGAUGAGGGAACCCUAGAUUUGAGUUCAGUUUGUGAAUUAUUGGGGCGGGGGGGGGGUAAAAUCAGGCUUACCGAGCUUGUAGGACCUUGCAUGUGCUGGAAGAAAAAGUCUUACAAAUUCCAAGUGACAGGUAUGGCAAGAAGGAGGAGGACGAGCCGGGACAGCAGCUUCAACUCUGGCUGCUCCCGUGCUGACAUGUGUCCACUGAACGCAGCCUCAGGACUUGGGGGAAAAAGACCGUCACGCGGAGCUCCGAGCUCACGAGCAGGUCUAAAGGGACCGGCAAGUCAACUAACAAAGGCGUCGGGGGUGGGAACCCCCCUGGGUCUUCCCUCGCCCCUCCUGUGACCACGGCUGGCAUCUCAGGCCCGCUGUCCGUGAACAGACAGGGAAAUAGCUAACUACCCAGCUGAGUCCACGUUCAGCCCCAGAGGAAGGUCGACGGCUGACUGUCUAGGAGUCUGCGGUCUCACUGACACCAGCAGCUCUCAGAGUGUGGAGCACAGCUGCCCUCCGUCUAUGGCUGUGGACUGGGGGGGGGGACAAACAUGUGCUGGGAGGGGGGCCGUCCCAGCCCCUCCGGCCAGGCUCCUCAGAGGCUGGCGCAUCACCCAGCCCCCAGGUGGGGGCAUCAUGGAGGAGACCACGGCUGCCCCUGCAUCAGCUGUCCUGGUUCAGCAGACCUUCCUUCUUUAGCCAGACCUGGAAGCCAAAGAGGUCAGGCCAACCUGCAGCUCGGGGUCCAGCCCAGACGGGCGGCUACCUGGCCAGCCUCCUGGCCUCUGUAUGCGGCGCAGCCUGCUCUGGAUGGUAGGCUCCCUGCCCAGGAUUUGCAGUGAACUUGGCUGCUCCCUGCGGGAUUUACUGGGUCUGGACCUGCCCGCGGUAGAAGGUCAAGUGUCAGUUCAACGAGGGAGCCCCUGUCCCCCUUCGUCUU
RNAcentral lists this long non-coding RNA (2593 nucleotides) under Sus scrofa (pig). RNAcentral's name for it is "lncRNA (ENSSSCG00035071453.1)". Lineage: Eukaryota; Metazoa; Chordata; Mammalia; Artiodactyla; Suidae. The record is from RNAcentral.